GGGGGGGAAGCUUGAGCGAGUCUGGCACAUUCUCUGGAUUUCCCAUUGUGAGGAAGGCUGCGAGGAAGAGGAAGAUGCCCCAGGACACUGAUGCAGAGCAGGAGCUGAGCAUGGAGAGCAGGGAGGACAAAUGCCCGCGGCAGAACCUGGUGGAAGAGGCCGUUUUGAGCGGCUCCACGGCGCAGGAAGCCAACGGGGAGGAAAAGCCCCGGAGAUGCCG
Melospiza melodia melodia is the source of this 220-nucleotide long non-coding RNA. RefSeq lists it as uncharacterized. Lineage: Eukaryota; Metazoa; Chordata; Aves; Passeriformes; Passerellidae. The record is from RefSeq and is a predicted model, not a curated record. The transcript has 3 exons.